Molecule: ribosomal RNA, 443 nt
Filed under: uncultured bacterium
Lineage: Bacteria
Description: partial 16S ribosomal RNA
Rfam family: Bacterial small subunit ribosomal RNA
Source: RNAcentral
CCUACGGGAGGCAGCAGUGGGGAAUAUUGGGCAAUGGGCGCAAGCCUGACCCAGCAACGCCGCGUGAAGGAAGAAGGCUUUCGGGUUGUAAACUUCUUUUGUCAGGGACGAAGCAAGUGACGGUAACUGACGAAUCAGCCACGGCUAACUACGUGCCAGCAGCCGCGGUAAUACGUAGGUGGCAAGCGUUAUCCGGAUUUAUUGGGUGUAAAGGGCGUGUAGGCGGGAAUGCAAGUCAGAUGUGAAAACUAUGGGCUCAACCCAUAGCCUGCAUUUGAAACUGUAAUUCUUGAGUGCUGGAGAGGCAAUCGGAAUUCCGUGUGUAGCGGUGAAAUGCGUAGAUAUACGGAGGAACACCAGUUGCGAAGGCGGAUUGCUAGACAGUAACUGACGCUGAGGCGCGAAAGCGUGGGGAGCAAACAGGAUUAGAUACCCCAGUAGUC